This is an RNA transcript of Neltuma alba, 1809 nucleotides long. It is a transcript of the gene named F-box/kelch-repeat protein SKIP6, with no coding region annotated. Lineage: Eukaryota; Viridiplantae; Streptophyta; Magnoliopsida; Fabales; Fabaceae. The record is from RefSeq and is a predicted model, not a curated record. The transcript is spliced from 3 exons.
GGCUUUAAGAAACAAGCCCGGCCCAAUUAUUGGAAGUUAGCUGGAAAACGGUAGACGCCUACUGCAGUACUACGGACUUGCUCACUCGUUAGCUGUUUCAGACUUUCAGUUAUGUAGCCCGCGUGUGAACCGAACCCUUCUGACGCCAACGAUGUCGUCGUCCUCCGCCACAGACUCGGAACCGGCGUCGCCGAGUCUCAUCCCUUCCCUUCCGGACGACGUGGCCUUGAACUGCUUAGCUCGCGUUCCUCGUUCCCAACACGUAUCCCUCUCGCUUGUUUCCAAAUCUAUCCGCUCUGUCCUUUCUUCGCCUCUCUUCUUCAACACUCGCUCUCUCCUUCACUGUACGCAGCACGUUCUUUACCUCACUCUUCGCUCUCAUGACUCCUCUGGUCCUCUUCAAUGGUUCUCUCUGCAUCAAAACACCCACAAUUCUUCACGCAGGAACAUUCUCGUCCCUAUUCCACCCAUGCCCUCCACUUCGGUCGGAUCCGCGUACACCGUCCUCGGCCAUGAUAUUUACGUCAUCGGCGGUUCUGUCCACGACGUCCCUUCCCAGCACGUAUGGAUCCUCGAUUGCCGCUUUAAUAAGUGGCGGCCUGGCCCUAACAUGCGCGUCGGCCGUGAGUUCGCUGCCGCCGGUGUUGUCGACGGGAAGAUUUAUGUCAUAGGAGGUUGCGUUGCUGAUACCUGGGCUAGAUCGACGAAUUGGGCUGAAGUACUCGAUCCAGUAACUGGUAGGUGGGAUACGGUUCCGAGUCCUGUCGAGGUACGGGAGAAAUGGAUGCAUGCAAGCACUGUCGUGGACGGUAAGGUUUACGCCAUGGCCGAUCGCGGUGGGGUCGUGUAUGAUACACGGAAUAAGGUUUGGGAAAGUGCUGGGAACGAGCUCGAUUUGGGAUGGAGAGGGAGGGCAUGCGUGGUGGAUGGUGUUUUGUAUUGCUACGAUUACGUGGGGAAUAUCAAGGGAUUUGAUGUGAAGAAAGGUGUUUGGAAGGAAUUGAGAGGCCUGGGAAAGUGCUUGCCGAAGUUUUUGUGUGGGGCGACCAUGGCUGACGUUGGUGGGAAGUUGUUUGUGGCAUGGGAAGAAGGGAGUGGGAAAGAAAUACAUAUUUGGUGUGCCGAAAUUGAGGUGAAGAAAAAUGAAGCAGAUGAGUUGUGGGGUAAAAUUGUUUGGUUGGAUGAAGUUCUCUCAGCCAAGAAAGGGGCAUCAAUUGUGCAUUGUUCUGCAGUUCCGUUGUGAAUUGAUUAUCAGCUAGUGUUCGCAGUAAGGAAUAAUGAUGAGCCAAUGUACUUAGCACAGUAACGACCCGAGCAUCGUGUCAUCAUCAGUCACGAGUCACAAUGCUUUUCACACUGCUGGAUUGUGAUGUAUUUUGUCUUCAACGUGUAUGACUAACAUCAUCUUGCUGUAAUGUCCUGAAAAGAUGUCACUUGAUCUAACAAAGCUUGAAGCUUCCUUUCUGAUUUGGUCAGGUGACUCUGACAACCCCGUUCAUGGUAAAUAAUACAGGAAUUGCUGAGGCAGUACUGCAUCUUUGUUAUUUUUAUAUCUUGCUUCGUAACAAGUAGAAUCACUUUCUUCUAUUAAAAAAAAAACAAGAAGAAGAAUUGCUUGCUCGUCCUUCUUUUUCUUGAUCUUAAAUUUGUACAUAGCUGACAUUAUGUGUUGCUUAUCAGUCUGUUAAUUUGUACGAGCUCUUUUGAUGUACGUAAUUAGCAUGAAAUAAUUGCCGCGGAAUGAUUGGCAACAGUAUACAGUUCCAGUUGUCCAUUAUAAAUGAAAUUCGCCGAUGUUAAAUGAGUCAA